UACGUAGGGUGCGAGCGUUAAUCGGAAUUACUGGGCGUAAAGCGUGCGCAGGCGGUGAUGUAAGACAGGUGUGAAAUCCCCGGGCUUAACCUGGGAACUGCAUUUGUGACUGCAUCGCUGGAGUGCGGCAGAGGGGGGAUGGAAUUCCGCGUGUAGCAGUGAAAUGCGUAGAGAUCGGGGAGGAACACCAGUGGCGAAGGCGGCUCGCUGGGCCGGUCCUGACACUGAGACGCGAAGGCGUGGGGAGCGAACGGG
RNAcentral lists this ribosomal RNA (255 nucleotides) under uncultured bacterium. RNAcentral's name for it is "partial 16S ribosomal RNA". It matches the Rfam family "Bacterial small subunit ribosomal RNA", at positions 524 to 776 of the family's 1533-position model. The record is from RNAcentral.